CCUCUUUCACUGUUCACAUGGACACCUGACUGUUGUUUUAAGACAGUCUUGAAAAACUGUGAACCCGUCCUUUAACACUGUUUUAACACCAACUAUGUGACAGAUUUUGGGUUCCCAUGAACAGCAGAGAGUUUGCUGUGCAGUAUUGUUAAUAUGCACAACCUCUCUUCAUUAGAAUCAGUAAGACCUGACAUGACGGCAUCACCCUCCUCAGAAUUUAUCAGGCCACUUGGUCACAUUAUCGAUUUCUCGUUCCUCUUCCUCAUCAAGGACUCGACACGGCCGCUCUCCGCUAUCGUCCUCAACCUCGACUCAAAUGCCACGGUUAUUAUCCUGCGGACAUUCCGUGUUCUGGGAGACGUUGCUUAACCAAUCCGGGCCCAGACCGGAUAAUGUGAGCGAGGCAGAGAGCAGCACGUAUUUCCUCCAGCUGCAGCAGAGGUGCAUUACACAGGACAGAGGCAGGUUCACCAAACAUGUCUCGUUAUCAGCCCUGCAAAGCUGUUUCCCCCGAGGGACGAGAAAGUCCAGCACAUUGUUCAGUUCUGUGUCGACUCUGCAGGGAAAUAUAUGUUCAAGUGUGUCCCCAUUCUGUUGUAUGGAUGAGUCACAUCAUACAGAAUGAAUUAUGCAAACUGUUAAUAUCGAUUUCUACACAUCAAGAUCUACAGAAGUGAUGCACACAUGUUUUAAUUAAAGUGAAAAUUGAA
This is a long non-coding RNA of Thunnus maccoyii (southern bluefin tuna), 710 nucleotides long. RefSeq lists it as uncharacterized. The record is from RefSeq and is a predicted model, not a curated record. The transcript has 3 exons. Lineage: Eukaryota; Metazoa; Chordata; Actinopteri; Scombriformes; Scombridae.